Molecule: long non-coding RNA, 1536 nt
Organism: Gasterosteus aculeatus aculeatus (three-spined stickleback)
Lineage: Eukaryota; Metazoa; Chordata; Actinopteri; Perciformes; Gasterosteidae
Source: Ensembl
CUCGGACGUGCCCGCCUCCAUCUUUGUUCCAUAUGGCUUCAUCCUUGACAGCGGUUUGAAAGCUCAGACCGACUUCUUCAGCGCCACAUCCGGCUUCUCGCCGAGACUUGAACGCGGCGCCCGCGGCACCAGCUGGACGGGGACAACUGGCCCGGAGGCACGAGCGCUGAAUGCUGCGAGGCCACAAAAAACGCACCGUUUAGCCGCCACUGACCCCAGUUUAAUCCAGACAAGCCGGCCAAUGGAAGGACAGAAGGUUCUGAUUUACUCAUCUGGACUCAAUGCAACUCCUCUGACGUUCUGAGGCGGACUUUUCUUGCGCUGAUGAAAAAGGUUUCCAGGCGAGACAGAACUACUUUAGUUCCCCGCUUACUGAGGUUUCAAUGAAACAAACCAGCUGUAACAUUCCCAUCAUCUCCUCCCCCCCCCCUUCGCCCGGACUCCUCUGUGAAGGACUCUAACCCCCGUCCCUCGGGCCGAUCUCGCGCGAUAAGGACCAGCGGACCACUGUGGCUUCUUGUCCUCUCAUGCGCAAGCAAAUGCUUCCUCCUUUGGACUGUGUGAACUCGCUCGAUUCUUUACUUGUCUUCGUUAUCUCUGACCGUUCCCCCUUUCCUGUCCCCUAUCCAGCUCCAUCAAUCUCUUUAUCUUCCACCUCUUUCAUCCCUUGUUAUUCCUCCCGCUCUUCACAACAACAACACCCAACCGUCAGCGCUCUCGCAGUACGUAUUUAUCACUGACAUGUCGGUGAGCGUCACCACACCUUUACUUCUGGUGUUUACUCGAACACCUCCAUCAGAGCUGGCACUUCCUCCACAUAAACAUGUACAGGCCACUGAAUGGCAUGGGACAACAUCUAAACGUCCUGCUGCGCGGUAAAUGUGACGAAGUUAAGGAAAAAUGUCCUCUACAUUGAGAAGAACAAGAGAACAAAAAAGGUACAAUUUAUAUUCAAGGAGCACUUUGAUGUUUUCUUGAUUGUCACACAAAGAAACCCAAUUGUAUGAGAUUUCAUUCUCUUUCUACUUUAUACAAUUUCACGUCAGCUUAAUUUCACAAGAGGGACAAUUCGUCAUGGACCAAAAAAAGAGAUUGAUAUUAUGAUAGAAGCUUGUCAUUGUGCAUUCAGCGCUGAUAAGCUACAGAAGGUUUAACAGCAUAUUGGAUGAUGAUUGAACCUGAUACAUAUGAUUACAAUGACCCACAUUAACGUGUUGUGUGAUAGUGUUUUUCAGCCCACAAAAGCUUGUAAUCAUAAGACGUUUUGACUUCUUUUCUUUGCCCUCCAGCAAAUGCAGACUGACUUCCAAAACAACACGGGACCUACAAUUGAAUUCGGAAGCAGUGUUGAAAUUGGGGUUUUAGUCCGUGCUAAGUCUAAACGGGCCAUCGGUGUCUUUUUAAUAUUGUUCGGUUGCCACUUUGCCAGAGCUAACUCUGUGGCGAGGGAACACGCGACGAGCGAAUGAGAAGGGAAUCGGAGCACACGCACAGAAUCACACACGGCCGCUGUGUCACAGUCAGAGCCCAGUGCUU